AGAGCGAACGCUGGCGGCAGGCCUAACACAUGCAAGUCGAGCGCCCGUAGCAAUACGGGAGCGGCAGACGGGAUAGUAACACGUGGGAACGCGCCCUUCGGUUCGGAAUAACUCAGGGAAACUUGAGCUAAUACCGGAUACGCCCUUACGGGGAAAGAUUUAUUGCCGAAGGAACGGCCCGCGUCCGAUUAGCUAGUUGGUGAGGUAAUGGCUCACCAAGGCGACGAUCGGUAGCUGGUCUGAGAGGAUGACCAGCAUCACUGGGACUGAGACACGGCCCAGACUCCUACGGGAGGCAGCAGUGGGGAAUAUUGGACAAUGGGCGCAAGCCUGAUCCAGCCAUGCCGCGUGGAUGAUGAAGGCCUUAGGGUUGUAAAGUCCUUUUAGCGGGGAAGAUAAUGACGGUACCCGUAGAAUAAGCCCGGCUAACUUCGUGCCAGCAGCCGC
This 447-nucleotide ribosomal RNA is filed under the name uncultured bacterium. Its description in RNAcentral is "SSU rRNA". It matches the Rfam family "Bacterial small subunit ribosomal RNA", at positions 26 to 518 of the family's 1533-position model. The record is from RNAcentral.